Long non-coding RNA from Quercus lobata, 239 nucleotides. RefSeq lists it as uncharacterized. The transcript is spliced from 3 exons. Lineage: Eukaryota; Viridiplantae; Streptophyta; Magnoliopsida; Fagales; Fagaceae. The record is from RefSeq and is a predicted model, not a curated record.
GAUUGUUUCUUCAAGCUUGUUGUCUCCAUGGGUUCAGCUAGAUCUGGCAUCCUUGGAGAGGCUACAGUCAAUAUGACAGGCUAUAUGAGUUCACCUGCUCCUGUUCCAGUUUCACUAAGAUUGAAAAAGUGCAAUCAUGGGACAAUUUUACAAGUAUAUUAUCAUUCCUAUCAUAGCGGAGAAGCACAUAAAGAGUAUUGUGUGAUCAUAGAAUACUUAUGAAGUUGAAGGAAAAUUUU